AUUGAACGCUGGCGGCAUGCCUUACACAUGCAAGUCGAACGGCAGCACGGGAGCAAUCCUGGUGGCGAGUGGUGAACGGGUGAGUAAUGUAUCGGAACGUGCCCAGUCGUGGGGGAUAACGUAGCGAAAGCUACGCUAAUACCGCAUACGAUCUGUGGAUGAAAGCGGGGGACCGUAAGGCCUCGCGCGAUUGGAGCGGCCGAUAUCAGAUUAGGUAGUUGGUGGGGUAAAGGCCUACCAAGCCGACGAUCUGUAGCUGGUCUGAGAGGACGACCAGCCACACUGGGACUGAGACACGGCCCAGACUCCGACGGGAGGCAGCAGUGGGGAAUUUUGGACAAUGGGCGCAAGCCUGAUCCAGCAAUGCCGCGUGCAGGAUGAAGGCCUUCGGGUUGUAAACUGCUUUUGUACGGAGCGAAAAGGCUCUCUCUAAUACAGGGGGCUCAUGACGGUACCGUAAGGAUAAGCACCGGCUAACUACGUGCCAGCAGCCGCCGUAA
RNAcentral lists this ribosomal RNA (500 nucleotides) under uncultured bacterium. RNAcentral describes it as "partial 16S ribosomal RNA". It matches the Rfam family "Bacterial small subunit ribosomal RNA", at positions 30 to 523 of the family's 1533-position model. The record is from RNAcentral.